GCCACAGUUUAUUGGGACAAAAUGAAGCUACAAAAACUACCUGUUGCAAAAAAUGGGUCAAAACAAUUAAUAAUGAUUAAAAAACUAAAUAAAAUGAUGAGUUCUGUGAUUACCAGAGUUCAAAGGUGCGCUACAGCUCAAGUGGAUUUUGCUUUGUCCAACCACCCACAGUGGGAAUGGGCACUAGGUGGGCAAAAUUUCUAGCUUGUCCACUUUGCCCACCAAUAGGAGUGGGCAUGCAAUUUCUUUUGUUGAAUCAAAAGACUUGCAAGUACAAUUAAUUUAAAAAAGCAGAUAAGCAUUUAUAAUUAAUAUUUAAAAAAAAUUAAUAGAUUAUGGCUAAACAUGCUAAAGUGGGCACAGGUGGACUGUCCACUGUGGGCAGGUGGAAAAAGCAAAAUCCACAUGUGCUGUUAUGUAUGUCUGAUGACAUGACUGCCACAGAAAAAAAGGCAAUUAAUAGGAUUCACAUGAAAACAGUCCAAUUCUACCAGCUCUCAUCAUUAAUAAUUUUUCCUCCAAUAUUCUUAUACUUUUAUUAAUAAUGUACUCUUUCCAUGAACCACACCACCUAGGUAAUGUUUGGGUGCAGUAGGUCCUUGGUUUGUUCCUUGUCCUUGUCAAACCAAAGACGUAAACUAAGUUCUUAUCAAUUCUUCCUUAUAGGUGCAGGGGUGGAUCCAGAUAUUUUCAAAAGGGGUUCCUAACCCAGGAUAAAAUGGGAGGGGAGGUUCAAAAUUAUAACUGAUGUAUCUCUCCUUCAUUCAAGGAAACUACAUAUUUUGAACAAAUAACCAUAAUUUAUUAGAAAAAAGUUUUUUAAUCAAUGGUAAAAUGCCAAAUCUGAAAACUAAAUUGAAUACUGUUAACCCAAAUUUUCAUGUGUAAUUUAUACACAACUAAUGUGAGAACGAAAGUAACUUGAAUAUAGAUGCAACAAAUUAGGAUCUUCUUUUAUAUAAAUAAAUAAACAAUGUUUGAAAAUCUAUAAAAAUUGGAUACAGCAAAGUAUCUUAGUGAGGUUAGACGUGGAAAGUAUACCCACAAAUAUAAUCUGGUUACAAUAUUCCUUUGAGGUUUCAUAUAAAUGUCUGGUAGGUUUGAUUACUAAGAAACCAACUAAGGCUUCAAGUUCUAUAAAUAUGUUAGGAUUUUCUAUUUAAAAAAAAAAUAACUGCCAAAUUUGAGGUGUUUUUUUCUUCAUAUUACCAUAUUCCCAUCUUCCAAGUAAAGUUGUCGUUCAAUCUUAAUAAAAAACCUAAAUUAAUUUGGACAGAGGAAUAAUGUAGAUCAGCUGUAUGAAUUUUGGACCAUACUGUAGAAUGCUUAAGAUACAAAAAUUUCAGCA
Molecule: long non-coding RNA, 1348 nt
Filed under: Mytilus galloprovincialis (Mediterranean mussel)
Lineage: Eukaryota; Metazoa; Mollusca; Bivalvia; Mytilida; Mytilidae
Source: RNAcentral